ACUAAACAGGAUCCCUAGUAACUGCGAGUGAAGCGGGAAAAGCUCAAAUUUAAAAUCUGGCAGUCUUUGGCUGUCCGAGUUGUAGUCUGGAGAAGUGCUUUCCGCGCUGGACCGUGUACAAGUCUCUUGGAAUAGAGCGUCAUAGAGGGUGAGAAUCCCGUCUUUGACACGGACUACCAGUGCUUUGUGAUGCGCUCUCAAAGAGUCGAGUUGUUUGGGAAUGCAGCUCAAAAUGGGUGGUAAAUUCCAUCUAAAGCUAAAUAUUGGCGAGAGACCGAUAGCGAACAAGUACCGUGAGGGAAAGAUGAAAAGCACUUUGGAAAGAGAGUUAAACAGUACGUGAAAUUGCUGAAAGGGAAACGAUUGAAGUCAGUCGCGUUGGCCAGAACUCAGCCUUGCUUUUGCUUGGUGCAUUUUCUGGUUAACGGGCCAGCAUCAAUUUUGACCGCUGGAUAAAGGUGGAGGGAAUGUGGCACCUUCGGGUGUGUUAUAGCCCUCUGUCACAUACAGCGGUUGGGAUUGAGGAACUCAGCACACCUUUAUGGUCGGGGUUCGCCCACGCUUGUGCUUAGGAUGCUGGCGUAAUGGCUUUAAACGACCCGUCUUGAAACACGGACCAAGGAGUCUAACAUGCCUGCGAGUAUUUGGGUGGAAAACCCGAGUGCGCAAUGAAAGUAAAAGUUAGGAUCUCUGUCAUGGAGAGCACUGACGCCCGGACCAGACCUUUUGUGACGGCUCCGCGGUAGAGCAUGUAUGUUGGGACCCGAAAGAUGGUGAACUAUGCCUGAAUAGGGUGAAGCCAGAGGAAACUCUGGUGGAGGCUCGUAGCGAUUUCUGACGUGCAAAUCGAUCGUCAAAUUUGGGGUAUAGGGGCGAAAGACUAAUCGAAACCAUCUAGUAGCUGGGUUCCUGCCGAGU
Molecule: ribosomal RNA, 918 nt
Filed under: Ischnoderma benzoinum
Lineage: Eukaryota; Fungi; Basidiomycota; Agaricomycetes; Polyporales; Ischnodermataceae
Description: LSU rRNA
Rfam family: Eukaryotic large subunit ribosomal RNA
Source: RNAcentral